CCCCUUAUGGUGAAACUGUAUAUCACGCGAACCUCCUAAGUUUGAGUUCUAGGUUAGAGUCCUAGUAAGGGGACCA
This 76-nucleotide transfer RNA is filed under the name Alphaproteobacteria bacterium MarineAlpha9_Bin4. RNAcentral's name for it is "tRNA-Arg". It matches the Rfam family "tRNA". From Rfam's summary of the family: Transfer RNA (tRNA) molecules are approximately 80 nucleotides in length. Lineage: Bacteria; Pseudomonadati; Pseudomonadota; Alphaproteobacteria. The record is from RNAcentral.